AUUGAACGCUGGCGGCAUGCCUUACACAUGCAAGUCGAACGGCAGCACGGGUGCUUGCACCUGGUGGCGAGUGGCGAACGGGUGAGUAAUACAUCGGAACAUGUCCUGUAGUGGGGGAUAGCCCGGCGAAAGCCGGAUUAAUACCGCAUACGAUCUACGGAUGAAAGCGGGGGACCUUCGGGCCUCGCGCUAUCGGGUUGGCCGAUGGCUGAUUAGCUAGUUGGUGGGGUAAAGGCCUACCAAGGCGACGAUCAGUAGCUGGUCUGAGAGGACGACCAGCAAAAGGGGGACGGAGACACGGCCAAGACGCAAAGGGGAGGCGGCGGGGGGGAUUUGGGAAAAAGGGGAGAAAGCCUGAACAAGAAAGGCGGGGUGUGGGAAGAAGGCCUGGGGGUUGAAAAGAAGUUUGGUAGGAAAAAAAAUCGUGGCACAAAAAAGGGGGGGGGGAUGAGGGAACAGAAAAAAAAAAACCGGAAAAACAAGGGA
This 486-nucleotide ribosomal RNA is filed under the name uncultured bacterium. Its description in RNAcentral is "partial 16S ribosomal RNA". The stretch from base 15 to 369 matches the Rfam family "Bacterial small subunit ribosomal RNA", at positions 42 to 397 of the family's 1533-position model. The record is from RNAcentral.